GUUAUCCUUUGUGCUUACAAGUGAAUCAGCAUGCAAAGCCCUUUUGUUUUUCCCUUGCAUCAAAAGGACACUUGCUCAUGCAGCAGCAGAUUGGUCUCCUGUGCAAUAGGGAAGUACAAUAGUCAAUUUUAUUGUCUUGAAACAUGGUAUCGCUGCUUUCAGUCAAAACUUCCACUUCCCUUUGAGAAGGAGUUUGGCUGACUAUAUCGGACCGUCAAACCCUCGACCCUGGUCAGUCAGUGCAGAGCUUUCAGUAACAGCAACACGCCAAGAGUUCAUUCUGCUAUUUAUGAGAGGUAUCCUGUACUUCGUAUCAAUCCACUCACUCUACAAACUGACUUCUAGCUACACGAGAGGCUGCAGUAAGAUGGUGCUGUGCUGUACAGUGCUCCUCCAUCCACUCUGCAAAGCCCCCCGGCAGCUGCCAGGAGAGGCCGCAGCUGUACAGAAGCUGAUGUAUAACCACACAAAGGCUGCACUGAAGCCAAGAUAUUUCAUAAUCUCCAUUUUAUUUCUUCGAAGCAAAACACAAGCUGAUUUCUCCAACACUGAAAGGAAAGAAAAUAGCCUCCACCCUGCUAAUGAUCCCUCAGGGGAGGCACCAUCAAGAGGCAACACUUCUUGUAGCAGAGAAAAGCCACGGCUGCUGCUGUCCCAGCAUGCAACAUCAGCCCUGAGAGUUAUCUGCAGCCCACAGACAUCAACUAAUCUCAGCGGGUGAGGAACGAAGCCUCUCCCCAUGGGAACUCAGCUGAUUCAGGGAGGGCGGUGAGCAGCAAAGGAGGUUUCUGAAAACAAACCACUGAGCUUCCCAGAGCCCCAAUAAUGUCCAUGCACUCCCCAGAGGGGAUUUGCAGAAAGACAAGAAUAUGGCUGGACAGAAAGACACACAGUUGGAAACAUCCAUUGAAUGUGGCACUGGGAACAGGGAAGAAGGCAAAAAGGAGACAUUUAUUCUUUUUCCAUGAUUGUUUUAUUCUCUCAUUUCAAACCUCUGUCCCAAUUCAACUCCUGUCUAAUGUGCCUGCAGUGACAACCAGAAAAAAUGGCAUUAAUUGUAUUUAUCUCAAUUUACCUUCUUCUUGCUGCCAAGAGAGCAUCCAGUCAUUCUUGACCUGGAAAACCUUUGCCAUCUCAGAGGGAUAGCAGCAUUUCCAUUACUCUCCUACUCCCUAGUUCAGCCUUUCCCAGAGAACAGAGCACAAAUCCAAUGUUCCACCAGGUCUGCUACCAAAGAAAAACCACAUUCAUUUAUGACAAAAGCAUGGGUGAAAAUCAAAGUAGUAAGAAGGAGGAAACAUUUGAAAAGUCAUGAAAUACUAACAUGAUGAGUCUCCUACUCUGUUCUUGCUGCUUUUGAAAGGAUUAAAAUCGAUAUUGGUAUUUCCAAGGAAUUUCUAUGCACAAAAAACUUAAUCUGAGCCAGGCCUUCAUGCCAAUAAAAAUGAUUGUAAUGGUGUCAGAACAAAGAUCCAUCUAAUCCACCAGGUGGUAACUAAAAGAAGAUGCCAGAGCAAGGUAAGCACAGUGAUACUUUCCCAAAUGCUCUUCCAGGCUCCAACAAUUUGUGGCUCACGAACUCUCUGAGACAUAUGUUGUCAUGUAUUUAGUAUCCCUAACAAACUAUUUUUCCUGAGCUUGUCCUGCAUCCCCUUGAACCUAGUUAUGCUCCAGUAUCCAUAAUAACUGAGGCAAGGAGCCAGUUUAACUACACACUGUUAGAAGAAUGACUUCUACCUCCACUCAGUAGAGCUUCCUUCAAGCUUUCCUUAGUACAAAAACCUAACAGCUGAGUAUGCAUGAAAAACACUGGCUGUUCCUAAAAAUCUGCUUGAAUUUUAUCAUAUUAUUCCACAAUUCCUGCUGGAAAUGGGAGAAAAAAAAAAACAAAGAAAAAAAAAUAGGGAAAAGAAAACGUACAAAAAAACCAAACCAAAACAAAACUGAGCAAGUAGGAAAGAAAAGAAAGUGACUACCUGCAAUGAAACAGGUCACUGUAUCAAAACAGAGAAUCUGCAAUUCCUACUUUAAGGACCCAAAGAAUUCUCCCAGACAAGUUUACACAUCUUUUGAAUAUCUGCCCAAGUAUCUCAGCAAGUAGAAAGAUGUUUAAAAUUACCAUUCCCUCUCUCUCUUGACGGCAUACUUGGAGAUGGUUAGAUGCCGUAUUUAUUCCAUCAGGCUCAUGAAAUAAGUCACACCCAAGAAAUGUGCUCCAGAGAUGCCCAUUUCAGACAGUAGAGUAUGACUAACAAGCACGGAGGUCUGUGGUCUUCCCAGUUUUGGUCAAUCCACCUCCCACUUGGACCAUAUCUCAGCACAGACAGGGAAGCCGCACAAAGCUGUCCACCCUUUUGGAUGACUCUACAGUCCUGAUGGAGCAAGAGCUUGGGGCACACACUGCAGUUAGCCACCCACACACAUAGGUUUAUGCACUUUCUGAUGAUUCAUAAACCCAGAUCUAACAGCAGAAUUGAGCCUUUUGUUCAUUAAUUUGGAAUGAAGCAGCAGCUAACAUUUUUUACAGAUGACUGUCAAGGCAAAAUCCUGGACUGAACAAUUCUGCUUAUCUAAAAUGAAUUUCAGCUACACCCUUUAAGGCAAAGCCAUCUCUAUUAAAAGAAAUAAAGAAAAUCCCUAAAUCAUAAUCCUGGAACAUUCAGCCAGAUUCUGUACUCUGUGCAGUCCAUUGUCUAAAUUUUGCAGGGAUCCUCUUUACAACAAAUAUUAUUACUGUGCUACAUAAUCCCUACCCAAGGUGGACUAGUUAAAGAUGGAUCUGUGUAUUCUUAACUGCAAAUUCUUCAGCUUUUGGGUGUUCUUGCUGAGUCUUUAAUAACAAAGCUUUGAAAUUUAAUUACUGUCUUAACAGUUGCAACUAUUAUACUUGAGAUAAAUGCAAGAUGAGUAACAAGCAUGUAAAGGGGGAAUUAACUUUAGUCAAAAAGGAAAUAUAUGAGUAAAUUUUUAUUCAUCAAUAACAAAAUUUAACAAAAUUAACUUUAGUGUUAUAUAUGUCAAGUCCAAUUUUCAAACCACUGGAGAUCUUCCUUCUCACUCCUUCCAGCAAAUUCUAUUCAAUCACUAAUUAUGAAUGAGAGGAAGAGCUGCAAAUCAAAACCAGGAAGGUGAGCAGGCAGUGAGAAGAUGCACAACUGCCAGUUGACUUUACUGCAAGCAUAAUGUGGAAAACGUGCAGCACAGCCACUCAGAUGACUGCCCAUAACAUUCUGAAGAAUUACAUCAGAAGAGAAGAUGACCACACAAGAUUACACUGGCAGACAGCUAAACGAGUCUAAUGCACAAAGCUAGCAUGAGAGGGGCUACGGACAGACAAAAGGCUGCUCUGACACAAAGAUACAUUACCACAUUCCCUUAUUUACAGAAGAGGAAGGAUUAACAAACUGUGUUUCAGCAAUAGAGAGGAGGAAAGCAUUUCCAGACUUUUUUAUAUGAUCAAUCAUUUUCUAUGACCUCCCCACAGCAUUGUUGCUCAUAUUUGCAAAAAAGAACACCAAAGAAGACACUGAAAAAGUAGAACCAGUUAGCAGUCUUCUAUCUUUACUGCUGUUUACUUGAUGACGUAGGCAAAGUUUUAGGCAAUAAUGUGCCUGUGAAAAUGGAUGGGGCCCUGGACAGCCUGACCUAGUGGGUGGCAACCAGCCCAUGGCAGGGAGUUGGAAGUAGAUGGGCUGUAAGGUCCCUUCCAACCCAAGCCAUUCUUAGUUGAUGGUUCUAUGCACAGUUGCAAAUGUAAAGUGUAAACAGAUCACAGCAUACACUGUAUAUAUUCAACAAUAUUUACAAAACUAUACAUUUAGAUGUCAGUUCUGCAAGUGAGUUGACUUUCUCAUGCACCCAUGUAUAUUCAUAAAGCAAUACUUGUCCACUGAGUACAAAAUACCAAACAAGACUACAGGAUUAAAUUUCUCUAGAAUAUUUAGUAAAAUAAAUUAAUUUUGAUAACAUAAGACAUUGCAAUGUUUUUUCUUAGGCACAGCAGGUGCUGCAAGAUGGAGAGAGAGACACAUGACACUAUUUUGUGCUUUAAGUAGCAGGAUUGGGAACAUUAUCCGUGUAAAAAAGAAAUAGUUACUGGGUCAAAAGCAUUGGCCUCUGAGAGCUUUCUUCAGAUAGAAAUAAUAUCCCAUUUGGACAAACUUUUCUUCCUCCUUCUAUAAGCUUCUUCUUUACUCUUCUGCUAUUUUCCAACAUAUUCUAACAGCUAUAUUAUUUCUGUAUGUAUCAAUUUAUACUAUUUAUGAACACCUAUGUAUAUCAUUA
Gallus gallus (chicken) is the source of this 4284-nucleotide long non-coding RNA. The record is from Ensembl. NCBI's taxonomy places the organism in Eukaryota, Metazoa, Chordata, Aves, Galliformes, Phasianidae.